GAUAUUAUAGCUCAGUGGUAGAGCGCAUGCUUAGCAUGCAAACGUCUUGGGUUCAAUACCCAGUAUCU
Molecule: transfer RNA, 68 nt
Filed under: Camelus ferus (Wild Bactrian camel)
Lineage: Eukaryota; Metazoa; Chordata; Mammalia; Artiodactyla; Camelidae
Rfam family: tRNA
About the family: Transfer RNA (tRNA) molecules are approximately 80 nucleotides in length. Their secondary structure includes four short double-helical elements and three loops (D, anti-codon, and T loops). Further hydrogen bonds mediate the characteristic L-shaped molecular structure. tRNAs have two regions of fundamental functional importance: the anti-codon, which is responsible for specific mRNA codon recognition, and the 3' end, to which the tRNAs corresponding amino acid is attached (by aminoacyl-tRNA synthetases). tRNAs cope with the degeneracy of the genetic code in two manners: having more than one tRNA (with a specific anti-codon) for a particular amino acid; and 'wobble' base-pairing, i.e. permitting non-standard base-pairing at the 3rd anti-codon position.
Source: Rfam by way of RNAcentral